This 433-nucleotide ribosomal RNA is filed under the name uncultured bacterium. RNAcentral describes it as "partial 16S ribosomal RNA". It matches the Rfam family "Bacterial small subunit ribosomal RNA", at positions 29 to 507 of the family's 1533-position model. The record is from RNAcentral.
AACGAACGCUGGCGGCAUGCCUAACACAUGCAAGUCGAACGAAACCUUCGGGCUUAGUGGCGCAGGGGUGGUUACCGCGUGGUAACCUGCCCUUAGGUUCGGAAUAACUCCCUGUGAGGGGUGCUCAUACCGGUUAAUCUCUUCGCACCAAAGAUUUAUCGCCUUGGGAUGGGCCCGCGUUGGAUUAGCCAGUUGGUAGGGUAAAAGCAUCUCAAGGCGAGGAUCCAUAGCUGGUCUGAGAGGAGGAUCAGCCAGAAUGGAACUGAGACACGGCCCAGACUCGUACGGGAGGGAGGAGUAGAGAAUAUUGGACAAGGGGCGAAAGCGUGAUCAAGCAAUGCGGGGGAAGUGAUGAAGGGCGUAGGGUUGUAAAGCUGUUUUAGCCGGGAUGAUAAUGACAGUACCGGGAGAAUAAGCACCGGCUAACUCCGUG